RNAcentral lists this ribosomal RNA (539 nucleotides) under uncultured archaeon. RNAcentral describes it as "bacterial SSU rRNA". It matches the Rfam family "Archaeal small subunit ribosomal RNA", at positions 460 to 997 of the family's 1478-position model. The record is from RNAcentral.
CGACGCCGCGGUAACACCGGCGGCCCGAGUGGUGAUCGUGAUUAUUGGGUCUAAAGGGUCCGUAGCCGGUUUGGUCAGUCCUCCGGGAAAUCUGAUAGCUCAACUAUUAGGCUUUCAGGGGAUACUGCCAGACUUGGAACCGGGAGAGGUAAGAGGUACUACAGGGGUAGGAGUGAAAUCUUGUAAUCCCUGUGGGACCACCUGUGGCGAAGGCGUCUUACCAGAACGGGUUCGACGGUGAGGGACGAAAGCUGGGGGCACGAACCGGAUUAGAUACCCGGGUAGUCCCAGCCGUAAACGAUGCUCGCUAGGUGUCAGGCAUGGCGCGACCGUGUCUGGUGCCGCAGGGAAGCCGUGAAGCGAGCCACCUGGGAAGUACGGCCGCAAGGCUGAAACUUAAAGGAAUUGGCGGGGGAGCACAACAACGGGUGGAGCCCUGCGGUUUAAUUGGACUCAACGCCGGACAACUCACCGGGGGCGACAGCAAUAUGUAGGCCAAGCUGAAGACUUUGCCUGAAUCGCUGAGAAGAGGUGCAUGG